Molecule: transfer RNA, 73 nt
Filed under: Candidatus Woesearchaeota archaeon
Lineage: Archaea; Nanobdellati; Candidatus Woesearchaeota
Description: tRNA-Gln
Rfam family: tRNA
About the family: Transfer RNA (tRNA) molecules are approximately 80 nucleotides in length. Their secondary structure includes four short double-helical elements and three loops (D, anti-codon, and T loops).
Source: RNAcentral
AGUCCCGUGGUGUAGCGGUCUAGCAUCAUAGCCUUUGGAGCUAUGGACCCAGGUCCGAAUCCUGGCGGGACUA